GAUUAACGCUGGCGGCGUGCAUUAUCAAUGCGAGUCGAACGGUACGGAGGACUUCGGUCCUCACGACCGUGGCAUCCGGGUGAGUAACACGUAGGUGACCUGCCUCUUAGUGGGGGAUAACCCCGGGAAACCGGGGACAAUACCGCAUACGAUCCACCAGAUCCGUCUGGCGGCUGAAAGGUGAGCUUGCUUGCCGCUGAGAGAGGGGCCUGCGGCCGAUUAGCUUGUUGGUGGGGUAACGGCUCACCAAGGCGAUGAUCGGUAGCUGGUCUGAGAGGAUGAGCAGCCACACUGGGACUGAGACACGGCCCAGACUCCUACGGGAGGCAGCAGUAGGGAAUCUUCCGCAAUGGACGAAAGUCUGACGCAGCGACGCCGCGUGGGGGAAGAAGGCCUUAGGGUUGUAAACUCCUUUAGUACGGGAAGAAGCCUUCGGGUGACGGUACCGUAAGAAUAAGCCACGGCUAACUCUGUG
This 475-nucleotide ribosomal RNA is filed under the name uncultured bacterium. Its description in RNAcentral is "bacterial SSU rRNA". It matches the Rfam family "Bacterial small subunit ribosomal RNA", at positions 28 to 507 of the family's 1533-position model. The record is from RNAcentral.